GAUGAACGCUAGCUACAGGCUUAACACAUGCAAGUCGAGGGGAAACGACAUCGAAAGCUUGCUUUUGAUGGGCGUCGACCGGCGCACGGGUGAGUAACGCGUAUCCAACCUGCCCAUCACUUGGGGAUAACCUUGCGAAAGUAAGACUAAUACCCAAUGAUAUCUCUAGAAGACAUCUGAAAGAGAUUAAAGAUUUAUCGGUGAUGGAUGGGGAUGCGUCUGAUUAGCUUGUUGGCGGGGUAACGGCCCACCAAGGCAACGAUCAGUAGGGGUUCUGAGAGGAAGGUCCCCCACAUUGGAACUGAGACACGGUCCAAACUCCUACGGGAGGCAGCAGUGAGGAAUAUUGAUCAAUGGGCGAGAGCCUGAACCAGCCAAGUAGCGUGCAGGAAGACGACCCUAUGGGUUGUAAACUGCUUUUAUAAGGGAAUAAAGUGAGAGUCGUGACUCUUUUUGUAUGUACCUUAUGAAUAAGGACCGGCUAAUUCCGUG
This 492-nucleotide ribosomal RNA is filed under the name uncultured bacterium. Its description in RNAcentral is "partial 16S ribosomal RNA". It matches the Rfam family "Bacterial small subunit ribosomal RNA", at positions 28 to 507 of the family's 1533-position model. The record is from RNAcentral.